CUGUUUUAUAGAAAAUUACAAAGCCUGAAUGUGUCCAAGCUCUGGACACAAACACAAUCAGAAAAUGUCACUCUUGUUCACUGAGCUAAACGUCAAAAAAUUAUUAUUUUUUCAUCCAGAUGGAAAACUCAAAGGAGACAUCAGUGGAAGAAUUGGCAGAUGCGAAAAGCAAGUCUACAGAAUUAUCGCACGAGGAGUCAUCCAAUGAACAGGAUGAGGAUUCGAGAGCCCGACACUGACCAUGAAUGACCGAACUCAGUGAGAACACAAGAAGACCUCAUUCAGAUUUAAUGUGUUUUCAGUUGUACUUUGUUGGCUCAUAUAUAAGGCCGGGGGCCUGGGAUGGUUGACUGUACAUUUUA
Molecule: long non-coding RNA, 362 nt
Organism: Pristis pectinata (smalltooth sawfish)
Lineage: Eukaryota; Metazoa; Chordata; Chondrichthyes; Rhinopristiformes; Pristidae
Exons: 3
Source: RefSeq, a predicted model, not a curated record